This 71-nucleotide transfer RNA is filed under the name Apaloderma vittatum (bar-tailed trogon). It matches the Rfam family "tRNA". Rfam says of the family: Transfer RNA (tRNA) molecules are approximately 80 nucleotides in length. Their secondary structure includes four short double-helical elements and three loops (D, anti-codon, and T loops). The record is from Rfam by way of RNAcentral. Lineage: Eukaryota; Metazoa; Chordata; Aves; Trogoniformes; Trogonidae.
GCAUUGGUGGUUCAGUGGUAGAAUUCUUGCCUGCCAUAUGGGAGGCCUGGGUUCGAUUCCCGGCCAAUGCA